Molecule: ribosomal RNA, 416 nt
Filed under: Acrapex albivena
Lineage: Eukaryota; Metazoa; Arthropoda; Insecta; Lepidoptera; Noctuidae
Description: partial 16S ribosomal RNA
Source: RNAcentral
AGGGCUGCAGUAUAUUGACUGUACAAAGGUAGCAUAAUCAUUAGUCAUUUAAUUGAUGACUUGUAUGAAGGAUUUGAUGAGAUAUAAACUGUCUCUUAUUUAAUUAUAAAAUUUAAUUUUUUUAUUAAAAAGUUAAAAUAUCUUAAAAAGACGAGAAGACCCUAUAGAGUUUAAUAAAUUAUUAGAUUGAGAUUAUAUGUAAAACAAAUUUAAAAUAAAAUUAUUUAUUUUGUUGGGGUGACAAAAAAAUACAUUAAACUUUUUUUUUAUUUUAAAACAUUUAUAAGUGAUUAAAUGAUCCAAUAAUAUUGAUUAUGAGAAAAAAUUACCUUAGGGAUAACAGCGUAAUUUUUUUUUUUAGUUCAAAUAAGAAAAAGAGUUUGCGACCUCGAUGUUGGAUUAAGAUAAAAUUUAAA